CCUUGUACACACCGCCCGUCACACCAUGGGAGUGGGUUCCACCAGAAGUAGGUAGCCUAACCGCAAGGGGGGCGCUUACCACGGUGAGAUUCAUGACUGGGGUG
This 104-nucleotide ribosomal RNA is filed under the name uncultured bacterium. RNAcentral's name for it is "partial 16S ribosomal RNA". It matches the Rfam family "Bacterial small subunit ribosomal RNA", at positions 1379 to 1482 of the family's 1533-position model. The record is from RNAcentral.